GCUCGUGCGUCACGACGCCGCCAGCUGAUCGGAGCCUGGAGCCGGUGUGUGCUGGGUGCCGAGAAGAGACAGCGCCGCCGGCCGUGGGGAGCGGACGCAGUGAUUUGCUCCCCCUCGUGCAGCAACCCCCACACCCAGCACCAGGAGCCUGUUCCUCUCACGCCCUCACCUGGCUGAGCCGCAGUAGUUCUUCAGUGGCAAGCUUUAUGUCCUGACCCAGCUAAAGCUGCCAGUUGAAGAACUGUUGCCCUCUGCCCCUGGCUUCGAGGAGGAGGAGGAGCUGCUUUCCCCAUCAUCUGGAAGGUGACAGAAAUGGGCUGGGAAGGUCCGAACAGCAGGGUGGAUGAUACGUUUUGGGCAAGUUGGAGAGCCUUUGCCCAGAUUGGCCCAGCAAGGAGCGGUUUUAGAUUAGAGACACUGGCUGGAUUGAGGAGUAGAAGGCUCAAACAACCCAAGGUGGUAUGUGAUCCCCAGCUCAGGCCUGUGCAGACAGGAAAUUCUCCCCUGCAGCAAGUAGGGGAGGUGGGUUGUGGGAUGUGACCUCCUUCCAGAUAUCAGGCAGUGAGUGUAAACCUGCCACCUCCAGCCCUGAUCCAUUCUCACCUAGCGGCUACAGGAAGCUGUGUCUGUUCGAUUUGGUGGGAGGAGAUGUGCAGGGAGCUGUAUCUUGUCCUCCGCUUGUGAAAAACUCAAGGAUGUGGAGAAGAGUAGACCGUGGAACCCUGCUCUUCUGCAGCCAAGCUGAGGGGCAGGAUGCGUGUGGGACAGUGGUAGAGAAGCAGGGGAUAGACUCAUAGGCUGCAACAAAGGUGACUCUGUCCCUGGACACUGCCUCCGUACUUUCUCCUUGCUUCACUGGCCACAGCAUCUCCCUCCAGCCCUCGCUAUGUGCCUCUGCCAUCUUCACCCAUCAUGGAGCAGAGGUGAGGAGAGGCAGCCUGGGAAUAUGGAGACCAGUGAAGGACCAGGCCUGGAGAGCACAGGGUCCUACCUGGGCAUCCAGCAGAGGAGCCCCUAAAGGCCAGGAGCACCCCAAGAGGAGGGAGGGCAGCCAGCCUCCAUUGACGGCGAGCCUCCAGCCCUCUCCUACUUUGAUCACCAUUUCUCUCCAGGCUUUCUGCCUCCGAGAUGUGGCACCAUAGUGCGGUGCCCUGUGGCUUCACCGCCCUACUUCCACCUCCGCCCAGCCUGUAAUGUUUAUAUAAGCAGCCUCAAGGACCAAGAACCAUCUGCGAAAGGACACACACAGGAAAUUCAUAAAAGAAAUCUGAAUGGAUAAAACCAUGAAAAAAAGUAUGCUUCAUUAGUAAUUAAAGAAAGGCAAAUAGAGCUGGAAGCAUUUUUCCCUUAGCAAACCAUAACAGAAAAAAAUAAGACCCAAUAUUGGCAAAGAGACUACUGAAAAAACAUUCCCAUACAUUGCGUGUGGGAGUAUACAUCGGUGCAGGCUUCCUGGAUGACAGUUGGGUGAUAUGUGUCAUGUGGCCUAAAAGCCUCCAUGUCAUUUGACCUACGAAUUCUAUCUUUGGGAAUUUAUCCUAAGAAAAUACUUAAGGAUUUAGUUAGUGAUAAGAUGUUCAUCCCAGCAUUGCAAUGGAGAAAAAUGGGAAGCAAUGGUUUGGUUGGGAAUUUAUUCCUUUUCUGCUGUAACGAAAGUUUGCAAUAGGGGAUUGCUUAAGUAAAUUAUUGUAUCUCCAUCCAGAUGGUGGAGUACCGCGCAGACAUUAAAAGUCAUGUAAAAGAACAUCUGACUGAAAGAAAAAUGCUCCUUGAAUAUUAAAAGGUUGUAAAAAUAGUGCAUGUUAUGUGAUUUCAAUUUUGUUUUUUAAAAUAUGGGUGUAUGCUUGUAUACGUAGAGCAGAUAAAAAAGACGGAAGGCAUACUAAAAAAUGUUGAGUGGUUAUCUUUGUAUGGUGGAACAAAGUCACUGUAAUUUUCAUCUUUGGUUUUUCUGUAAUUUCCAAAUUUUCCACAUUUUGUAUUUCAUAUAAUAUAAUUUAAGAGAUCA
This 2008-nucleotide long non-coding RNA is filed under the name Homo sapiens (human). RNAcentral describes it as "MIR22 host gene". The stretch from base 172 to 255 matches the Rfam family "mir-22 microRNA precursor family". Lineage: Eukaryota; Metazoa; Chordata; Mammalia; Primates; Hominidae. The record is from RNAcentral.